RNAcentral lists this ribosomal RNA (252 nucleotides) under uncultured bacterium. Its description in RNAcentral is "partial 16S ribosomal RNA". It matches the Rfam family "Bacterial small subunit ribosomal RNA", at positions 525 to 776 of the family's 1533-position model. The record is from RNAcentral.
ACGGAGGGGGCGAGCGUUGUUCGGAAUUACUGGGCGUAAAGGGCGUGUAGGCGGCCUUGUCAGUCAGGCGUGAAAUCCCCGGGCUCAACCUGGGACGUGCGCUUGAUACUGCAGGGCUUGAGAGCGAGAGAGGUAAGCGGAAUUCCCAGUGUAGAGGUGAAAUUCGUAGAUAUUGGGAAGAACACCGGUGGCGAAGGCGGCUUACUGGCUCGUUUCUGACGCUGAGGCGCGAAAGCGUGGGGAGCGAACAGG